GAUGAACGCUGACAGAAUGCUUAACACAUGCAAGUCAACUUGAACUUCGGUUUGGGUGGCGGACUGGUGAGUAACGCGUAAGGAACUUGCCUCACAGUUAGGGACAACAUUUUGAAACGAAUGCUAAUACCUGAUAUUAUGAUUUUAGGGCAUCCUAGAAUUAUGAAAGCUAUAUGCGCUGUGAGAGAGCUUUGCGUCCCAUUAGCUAGUUGGAGAGGUAACGGCUCACCAAGGCGAUGAUGGGUAGCCGGCCUGAGAGGGUGAACGGCCACAAGGGGACUGAGACACGGCCCUUACUCAUACGGGAGGCAGCAGUGGGAAAUAUUGGACGAUGGACCAAGAGUCUGAUCCAGCAAUUCUGUGUGCAAGAUGAAGUUUUUCGGAAUGUAAAGUGCUUUCAGUUGGGAAGAAAAAAAUGACGGUACCAACAGAAGAAGCGACGGCUAACUACGUG
This 454-nucleotide ribosomal RNA is filed under the name uncultured bacterium. Its description in RNAcentral is "partial 16S ribosomal RNA". It matches the Rfam family "Bacterial small subunit ribosomal RNA", at positions 28 to 507 of the family's 1533-position model. The record is from RNAcentral.